RNAcentral lists this RNase P RNA (361 nucleotides) under human gut metagenome. Its description in RNAcentral is "Bacterial RNase P class A". It matches the Rfam family "Bacterial RNase P class A". From Rfam's summary of the family: Ribonuclease P (RNase P) is a ubiquitous endoribonuclease, found in archaea, bacteria and eukarya as well as chloroplasts and mitochondria. Its best characterised activity is the generation of mature 5'-ends of tRNAs by cleaving the 5'-leader elements of precursor-tRNAs. Cellular RNase Ps are ribonucleoproteins. The record is from RNAcentral. RNAcentral also lists the same sequence under 1 other name.
UCGCUCGGGAACGCGAGUUUUCGAGAGGAAAGUCCGGACACCGCAGGGCAGGAUUCCUCGUGAAAGCGAGGGCGGCGCGCCGCAAGGUUCGUCGACGGAAAGUGUCACAGAAAACAGACCGCCGGGCUUCGGCUCGGCAAGGGUGAAACGGCGAGGUAAGAGCUCACCGCUCGAACGGCGACGAACGAGGCACGACAAACCCAAUCCGGUGCAAGACAAAAUAGGUGAGCGGGCUGCCCGUCCGACGCUCACGGGUCUGUCGCAUCGCCGAAAGGCGAAGCCGCCGCGAGGCGGUUAGAGGAAUGAAUGCGGCCGCGUUCCCGCGCGAGCGGUCCGCGGCACAGAAUCCGGCUUACAGCCC